UACAGAGGUCUCAAGCGUUGUUCGGAAUCACUGGGCGUAAAGGGUGUGUAGGCGGCGUGAAAAGUCAGAUGUGAAAUCCAGAAGCUCAACUUCUGAAAUGCAUCCGAUACUGUCAUGCUGGAGGUCUGUAGAGGGGUCUGGAAUUCUCGGUGUAGCAGUGAAAUGCGUGGAUAUCGAGAGGAACACUUAUAGCGAAAGCAAGACCCUGGGCAGAGCCUGACGCUGAGGUGCGAAAGCCAGGGGAGCAAACGGG
This 253-nucleotide ribosomal RNA is filed under the name uncultured bacterium. Its description in RNAcentral is "partial 16S ribosomal RNA". It matches the Rfam family "Bacterial small subunit ribosomal RNA", at positions 524 to 776 of the family's 1533-position model. The record is from RNAcentral.